AGUGAACGCUGGCGGUAGGCCUAACACAUGCAAGUCGAACGGCAGCACAGUAAGAGCUUGCUCUUACGGGUGGCGCGUGGCGGACGGGUGAGGAAUACAUCGGAAUCUACUUUUUCGUGGGGGAUAACGUAGGGAAACUUACGCUAAUAACGCAUACGACCUACGGGUGAAAGCAGGGGAUCUUCGGACCUUGCGCGAUUGAAUGAGCCGAUGUCGGAUUAGCUAGUUGGCGGGGUAAAGGCCCACCAAGGCGACGAUCCGUAGCUGGUCUGAGAGGAUGAUCAGCCACACUGGAACUGAGACACGGUCCAGACUCCUACGGGAGGCAGCAGUGGGGAAUAUUGGACAAUGGGGGCAAGCCUGAUCCAGCCAUACCGCGUGGGUGAAGAAGGCCUUCGGGUUGUAAAGCCCUGUUGUUGGGAAAGAAAAGCAGCAGGUUAAUACCCCGCUGUUCUGACGGUACCCAAAGAAUAAGCACCGGCUAACUUCGUG
This 492-nucleotide ribosomal RNA is filed under the name uncultured bacterium. RNAcentral's name for it is "partial 16S ribosomal RNA". It matches the Rfam family "Bacterial small subunit ribosomal RNA", at positions 29 to 507 of the family's 1533-position model. The record is from RNAcentral.